Molecule: long non-coding RNA, 2809 nt
Organism: Piliocolobus tephrosceles (Ugandan red Colobus)
Lineage: Eukaryota; Metazoa; Chordata; Mammalia; Primates; Cercopithecidae
Exons: 2
Source: RefSeq, a predicted model, not a curated record
CAUUACUUUUUAUUUAUUUAGGAAAAGCUGUUACUAGAACCAAUGUUUGAAGUCCCUAAUUCUGAUAUCGUAUGUGUGGAGGUUGACAAAGAAGUAGUAGAAGGAAAAAAGGAACCAGGAUACAUCCGGGCUCCAACAAAAGAAUCCUCUGAAGAGGAGUAUGACUCUGGAGUUGAAGAAGAAGGAUGGCCCCGCCAAGCAGAUGCUGCAAACAGCUAAACUGUCAUAUUGCUGUCCUGUAUAUACAGCUUUUCCUUCUUUUGUUUAGGGUCAUAACUGUCUCUACAGUCUGAUAUUAAAGGCAUUGGAUCUAUCUUGGAUAUCAUACAUGGUCAGAGAAGCCUUUAGGAUAAGAAUCAGAUCAUGUAUAUUAUUGUAACAUCACAUUGAUUUUACAGAGGACGUUAUGUGGACUUUAAUGACAGUGUUUAGAGAUAAAAUGUACAUUAUUUUGGUUCAGUUUUUAAAAAAAACUAUGCUUUAACAAAAUUCUUAGGAAUUCUUUUAAGCAAUGCAGGUAUUGCAAUAACUGUAGAUGUUACAAUAAUGUUACUCUACAAAUGGGAAAAUAAAUUCUUAAAAAUUGAAUAUUGAGAUACCAUUCUUAUAGUGUUACUUUUUUACCCACAUGUGUUUCUGAAAAUAUUGGAAUUAUAUUCAUCUUGAAAAUUGGACCAGGUAGGCCAGGCACGCUGGCUCACGCCUGUAAUCCCAGCACUUUGGGAGGCCAAGGCAGGUGGAUCACGAGGUCAGGAGUUCAAGACCAGCUGGCCAAGAUGGUGAAACCCCAUCUCUACUAAAAAUACAGAAAAUUAGCUGGGCGCAGUGGCAGGCGCCUGUAAUCCCAGCUACUCAGGAGGCUGAGGCAGGGGAAUCGCUUGAACUCGGAGGGCAGAGGUUACAGUGAGCUGAGAUCGCGCCACUUCUCUCCAGCCUGGGCAACAGAGUGAGACUCCAUCUCAGGGGAAAAAAAAAAAUUGGACCAGGUAGUUAAAAAUUUCAUUGAAAAAUACCCUGAAGAACUAUAUUUUUAUAAUUGGUUUAGCUGUAUUCCUAGUCUUAUCUGCUAACGCAUGACAGCAUGACACUAACUUCCCAAUUGGUUCUGUAAAAAAGGCCAUUUUCUUACCAAGUUGUCGGAUUUACCAUCUUUUUUUUAAAGCAGAGUCUCGCUCUGUCCCAAGCUGGAGCGCAGUGGUGCAAGCUUGGCUCACUGCAACCUCCACCCCCCAGGUUCAAGCAAUUUUCCUGCCUCAGCCUUCCGAGUAGCUGGGAUUACAGGUGCACACCACCAUACCCGGCUAAUUUUUGUAUUUUUAGUAGAGACAGGGUUUCACCAUGUUGGCCAGGCUAGUCUCUAACCCCUGACCUUGUGAUCUGCUGGCCUCAGCCUCCCAAAGUGCUGAGAUUACAGGCAUGAGCCACCGCACCCAGCCUUAAUUACCAUCUUUAAUCCAUUUUAGUACUGUGGAUGAGUAAAUGGAAUUGAAGUCUGGCUUAAAUCUUCAGAAAGUUAUAUAGCUAUUUUAUUUUAUUUUAUUUCAUUUUAUUUUAUUGAGACAGAAUCUCGCUGUCACCUAGGCUGGAGUGCAGUGGCACGAUCUUGGCUCACUGCAACCUCUGCCUCCCGGGUUCAAGCGAUUCUCAUGCCUCAGCUUCCUGAGUAGCUGGGACUACAGGUGUGCACCACCACACCUGGCUAAUUUUUUGUAUUUUUAGUAGAGACGGGGUUUCGCCAUGUUGCCCAGGCUGGUCUCUCCUGAGCUCAGGCAAUCUGACCACCUUGGCCUCUGACAGUGCUAGGAUUACAGGCAUGAGCCACCGCAUCCAGCCAGAAAGAUACAUAUCUAAUUCUAUAAAUAGCAUGCAGUGUCAGUCAUAGUAACAGCCAUGUGCUCACCUAAAUAAAAUUUCCUGAUAUUGUGUACUUAACCUGAAGUACUGAGCUGUUUUUUUGUUUUGUUUUUUGGUGCUGAACAUUUUGGUCUAAUUCUUUGGCUUCUAGAACAUUAAAAAAAAUCUAUGUUUUGCUAUCAGCCAAAGUAAAUGUGUUCACACUAACAUAUAAGUUACUAACCUUCAUUAUAUAGCAAAGGUAAAAAGUGGUGGGAUAUUUGGGGUCUUAAUGAAAAUUGUAUCAUUUAACUCCAUAAAUAUUAAAAUAUUUGGGUAUCUUUUAAGCUUUUUUUUCUUUCCUUCUAUAGUGGUGGUACAAGUUCUAUAUUGAUUCAGUUUAAUCUCAUUCAAAAUUGUUUAAAUCAGAGUACAUGUAAAUAUUUGUCCUUAUUUUUUGGUUUAUAGACUGUUGAGCUUUCCUUUUACACAGUUUUUUUUUGGGGGGGGGGAUACUGAAGCUAUCAGGAAAUUCUAAAUCUUGGUGAAGAUUUGGGCUUUCUAUGAUAUAAUUAAUAAAAGGAAUGUGUGGUAUUUAUGGCUGGGUAGGACCAGAAAUGCACUUUGUAUUACAGUGUUAAGGCUGGUUGCUAUAGUAUGGAACAGAAACACCUCUCCUUGGUCUCCCUAGUAAUGGUUCGAGUUCUCCCCAGGAAGUCUUACAUAUUAUAACUUUGUUCAUUAUCUUUCCCUUAUAGCAUCAUUUUCCUUUUUGUAGAGUGGAAAUCAGAGUAGCUGCUAGACAUAUUAAGGGUAAUCCUCCAGAAAUGGACUGGGAGGCAUUUUGGUCACAACUACUUACAUUUGACUUUGGAAGUUGUUAACAAAGCAUAAUCGAUGUUUUUAAAUCAAACGCAAUUUGUAUCUUGGAACUUACAUUUUGACAUUUGAAUAAAACAAAAAGACUAAAUGAAAA